RNAcentral lists this unclassified non-coding RNA (302 nucleotides) under plant metagenome. RNAcentral's name for it is "partial contains small subunit ribosomal RNA, internal transcribed spacer 1, and 5.8S ribosomal RNA". The stretch from base 254 to 302 matches the Rfam family "5.8S ribosomal RNA", at positions 1 to 49 of the family's 154-position model. The record is from RNAcentral.
UUUCCGUAGGUGAACCUGCGGAAGGAUCAUUGUCGAAACCUGCCCAGCAGAACGACCCGCGAACUUGUAUAAACAACUGGGGGCGGGGGGCGUUCUCGCCCCGUGCCCCCGAACGGCGGGGAGACACUCGUGCCUUCUUGCCGAACAACGAACCCCGGCGCGGUCUGCGCCAAGGAACUUCAACUAAAGAGUGCCUCCGGUCGCCUCGGAAACGGCGUGCGUGCCGGAGGCGAAUCUUGUGCAAAACCAUAACGACUCUCGGCAACGGAUAUCUCGGCUCUCGCAUCGAUGAAGAACGCAGU